AUGGAUGGUAAAUAUAGUUCCCCCGAGCUGCUGGGGAGGCAGCCGCUAAUGAAUGGCUGCUCUGCCUUCCUGGCCUCCCUAAUUGAGAGAUCAGAGGAAAUGACACCUCGCAGCAAACCCGGAGGCCGCGGAGGUUUUUGCACCACCACACCCUCCUCGCUCAGCACCCCAGGGGCCAUCGGCAGCCCCUCUGCCCGCCGCAGGAAGGAGACGGCAGCCGCAUCGCCUUGAAGUGCCCGAGUCUCACAGCUCUAACAACACAGGAACAAGGGUAAGUCUGUUGUCCUGCAACACCUGCCCUGGAGCUCAGCCUUGGAGCUGAAAGGGUUCUUUCUUUUCCUAAAUCAGUCCUCAAUAUGGAAUAUUUUCUAUGUGCAAAACAAACUCUGGCAAAACUGAGGCCAAGUCUCCGCUCCCUUGUGCUGUUUCUGUAAACCCCACUGGGCUCUCCCAGCUUGGUUCUGGUUGCAGCAUGCCUGGAGAUGUCUGCUGAUAACCUCGUCUGAGCAAAAACAAAGUGAAAGGAGGGAUAUCUCCCAGUACUAUGAGGCUUGCUUUCCCUGAAAAGCAUCUCUCUGGGAUCUGCCCCUACCUGCCCCUGCAAGAGGGGAAUGCCGCCAUCUGGUGCCCAUGUCUUGGUUUUGGCUGGACCAGGUGAGGAUGUGGGUAGGUAGGAGCUGGCCCCUGGUGAGUCUAAGGCUCCUCUGUUGCUCAGGGGCAGCCCUAAAUCUUGCUCGGGAGCAGGGGAACCCUGAGGUUACCUGAGAACUUACUAUCUUGUCCCCAGAUCUGCAGGAAGCAGCAAAAAGCUUUAUGCUAGAGGAGUUGCCCAGCCACUACUACCUGUAGGACCUGUUUUUUAAAGGAUCAAAUUGGCCAAGAGCUGGUCUGGAUUUCUUAUUUCUUUCUAGUGCCAACAAAUGGUGUACUGGCUGUGAGGGAGAGUGGUGUGUGCUUGUCACAGUGCAAACAUCAUGGGCCUCCCAACAGCAGGAUCCAGGGAUUAUAAUCCAUGUCCUGCCCUCAGAUAUAAAAGAGGCAGAAAACGGGUGUGAGACUCUGAACAGUGAUGAAAGGCUAGCUCACAACUGGAGAGACUGGGAUGAAGGUUGAGGAACUAAGAGUCUCCAACUGAUAGAGACACGUCAAUCAAGUCAACAGCUCUCUUUCUAACUAAUCCCUGAUUGCUGAGUCUUUGGGGCAUGCUGUGUCCUUGCAAUGGAUUCUGAGUAUGUCUUGGUUUAGGUCUAUGAUUUAUAAGUGAAACUGUGGGCUGUUAUUUCCAUCUCAUGUCAAGUAUACAUAUCACCCUUUGUUUGGGGUCUAAGAUGCAGCUAAAACCCUUCACAGGAGUAUCACUGAAAUUUAAACUUUUGUAAACUGAGGGGACAGGUCACAGGGACCUGCAGACUUGCUGUUUGUACCCUGUAAAGAGAAGAGCAGCUGCAGCAGGAAUAAGCAUAUGCAAGCUGGUUUUAGUAUAUCUAAAGAUCAGACAGAUGUAAGUCACUGCUUCUUUAGAAAAUAGCCUUCAUCAAGAUUAGUGUAUUGACAGGAUGUGAAAAUGGGCUGAAUCCACAAGAACUUCACAACAAGCUAGUCCAGGUAUGACUACAUGUGUAGUCAGUUUUCUCCUUCCUUUUAUGGAUGAUCUGGUGGAUGCAAAUGUUAUGUACAUCUCACAUAUAUUGCACAUCAAUGGUGUUUUGUUAUUGUGAAAGCAAGAGAGAGUUACAGUGCAACAGGAUUUUUCAAACAUACACUACCUUAUAAACUUGGAAUAAAGAAGAAAGUAAUGUAACA
Molecule: long non-coding RNA, 1803 nt
Organism: Apteryx owenii (little spotted kiwi)
Lineage: Eukaryota; Metazoa; Chordata; Aves; Apterygiformes; Apterygidae
Source: Ensembl